RNAcentral lists this ribosomal RNA (511 nucleotides) under Nocardioides furvisabuli. RNAcentral describes it as "bacterial SSU rRNA". It matches the Rfam family "Bacterial small subunit ribosomal RNA", at positions 271 to 794 of the family's 1533-position model. Lineage: Bacteria; Bacillati; Actinomycetota; Actinomycetes; Propionibacteriales; Nocardioidaceae. The record is from RNAcentral.
UGGCUUCGACGGGUAGCCGGCCUGAGAGGGUGACCGGCCACACUGGGACUGAGACACGGCCCAGACUCCUACGGGAGGCAGCAGUGGGGAAUAUUGGACAAUGGGCGGAAGCCUGAUCCAGCAACGCCGCGUGAGGGAUGACGGCCUUCGGGUUGUAAACCUCUUUCAGUACCGACGAAGCGCAAGUGACGGUAGGUACAGAAGAAGCACCGGCCAACUACGUGCCAGCAGCCGCGGUAAUACGUAGGGUGCGAGCGUUGUCCGGAAUUAUUGGGCGUAAAGGGCUCGUAGGCGGUUUGUCGCGUCGGGAGUGAAAACCAGGUGCUUAACACCUGGCUUGCUUCCGAUACGGGCAGACUAGAGGUAUUCAGGGGAGAACGGAAUUCCUGGUGUAGCGGUGAAAUGCGCAGAUAUCAGGAGGAACACCGGUGGCGAAGGCGGUUCUCUGGGAAUAUCCUGACGCUGAGGAGCGAAAGUGUGGGGAGCGAACAGGAUUAGAUACCCUGGUAGU